Sander lucioperca (pikeperch) is the source of this 1154-nucleotide long non-coding RNA. RefSeq lists it as uncharacterized. The transcript is spliced from 4 exons. The record is from RefSeq and is a predicted model, not a curated record. NCBI's taxonomy places the organism in Eukaryota, Metazoa, Chordata, Actinopteri, Perciformes, Percidae.
CCGGGCGUGGCUGCUGUUUGGUUUCUGACCGAUCGCACGUGGUUGUGGAACAAAAAACACCCCACGUGUGCGACCGGAGCUGGUGAUCCGUUAGUUAGUGGUCGUCAUUUCCAUCCCGAGCUGCAUGGGACGUCUGCUCUCUGGGUGCCUUCCUGUAAAACGUGGGAAAACUCCAGCUAAAGAAGGACUAUUUUCCACCCGUGUCCCCACCUCAACUCAAAUGAACUGACUACACAAGGACAGUAACAUGUUUCCGGGGUGCUGACGUUGAUAUGUGGCAGGAAAAAAGCGAACAUUUUUCCCCACAGAGCGCUCGCCGCCCAGAACAAAGUCGAAACUGUUUCCCCCUUGGAGGCGGCCCUUGAGUGAGAGUCUCCUGACAUCUCCUCUGGGGGCUUUCAGCAAAAAAUAAGUCGUACAAGCAGGAGCCUCUGAAGGGAAGUGAAUUUACAAAAAAAAGUAAGGGACACACAGAAAGGACAGUAAUGAGAGAGUGAUUGCUGUUUUCUCUGUUGAUUGCUGGGGAUGCCAUCACUCCAUAUGUUGUGUAUGAUGGGAGAGUCAAAUUAAAAAUGUAGGCUAGUGAUCAGAAGACACUGUAACACUGGGAGUUAAAUCCCUCCGGUGCUAAAAGCGAACAUUUUGGUCCCUGAAAGUGAGCCCCCCCCCCCUCCCUGUGUUAUGACAUGUAGGUAAAGUGUUGAUUAGCAUAUCGCACUUAGGUUGACAACGUGUGCUCCAUUACAGAAAACUGCAACUCGGGACAUCUUAUGUCAGCAUCUGCAUAUUCCUAGACCUAACAACAAAUUAUUUUACCAGAACUACCUGUACCGUGACAAUACACAAAAAAAGCUGUGCUGAACCUUUGCUUGGAUAUUUGGAUUGUAUGUCCCUUUUUGCUCUCUUUUUAGCAGUCAGAAAGAAUGGCUUGGAAAGAAAUAACUCCAAAUGUACAUGCAGUUUAUGGUACCUACUACUAUAGCUUAACCUGUACAUAAAUAAAACAUGCGGGGCAUUUAAUGGCCUGAUCUAAUUGGUCUAUUCUGUUUUUUUUGGUCUUUGUAUAAGUUUGCCUUAGUUGUCUGUUUUAUUUUGGAAAGGGGAGGGGGGUCUUGUGUAUCUUCACCAUUUGGCUGUCCCAUGCUUUGUUAUAU